UACGUAGGGGGCUAGCGUUGUCCGGAAUCAUUGGGCGUAAAGAGCGUGUAGGCGGCCCGGUAAGUCCGCUGUGAAAGUCGGGGGCUCAACCCUCGAAAGCCGGUGGAUACUGUCGGGCUAGAGUGCGGAAGAGGCGAGUGGAAUUCCUGGUGUAGCGGUGAAAUGCGCAGAUAUCAGGAGGAACACCAAUUGCGAAGGCAGCUCGCUGGGACGUAACUGACGCUGAGACGCGAAAGCGUGGGGAGCGAACAGG
This 253-nucleotide ribosomal RNA is filed under the name uncultured bacterium. Its description in RNAcentral is "partial 16S ribosomal RNA". It matches the Rfam family "Bacterial small subunit ribosomal RNA", at positions 524 to 776 of the family's 1533-position model. The record is from RNAcentral.